RNAcentral lists this ribosomal RNA (482 nucleotides) under uncultured bacterium. RNAcentral's name for it is "partial 16S ribosomal RNA". It matches the Rfam family "Bacterial small subunit ribosomal RNA", at positions 30 to 507 of the family's 1533-position model. The record is from RNAcentral.
AUUGAACGCUGACGGCAUGCUUUACACAUGCAAGUCGAACGGUAACAGGCCGCAAGGUGCUGACGAGUGGCGAACGGGUGAGUAAUGCAUCGGAACGUGCCCAGUCGUGGGGGAUAACUACUCGAAAGAGUAGCUAAUACCGCAUACGAUCUAUGGAUGAAAGCGGGGGACCGUAAGGCCUCGCGCGAUUGGAGCGGCCGAUGUCAGAUUAGGUAGUUGGUGGGGUAAAGGCUCACCAAGCCAACGAUCUGUAGCUGGUCUGAGAGGACAACCAGCCACACUGGGACUGAGACACGGCCCAGACUCCUACGGGAGGCAGCAGUGGGGAAUUUUGGACAAUGGGCGCAAGCCUGAUCCAGCAAUGCCGCGUGCAGGAAGAAGGCCUUCGGGUUGUAAACUGCUUUUGUACGGAACGAAACGGCUCUGGUUAAUACCCGGGGCUAAUGACGGUACCGGAAGAAUAAGCACCGGCUAACUACGUG